CUAAUMAUGCAAGUCGAACGCGUUGGCCCAAAUUGAUUGAYRGUGCUUGCACCUGAUUGAUUUUGGUCGCCAACGAGUGGCGGACGGGUGAGUAACWYGUAGGUAACCUGCCCAGAAGCGGGGGACAACAUUUGGAAACAGAUGCUAAUACCGCAUAACARCGUUGUUCGCAUGAACAACGCUUAAAAGAUGGCUUCUCGCUAUCACUUCUGGAUGGACCUGCGGUGCAUUAGCUUGUUGGUGGGGUAACGGCCUACCAAGGCGAUGAUGCAUAGCCGAGUUGAGAGACUGAUCGGCCACAAUGGGACUGAGACACGGCCCAUACUCCUACGGGAGGCAGCAGUAGGGAAUCUUCCACAAUGGGCGCAAGCCUGAUGGAGCAACACCGCGUGAGUGAAGAAGGGUUUCGGCUCGUAAAGCUCUGUUGUUAAAGAAGAACACGUAUGAGAGUAACUGUUCAURCGUUGACGGUAUUUAACCAGAAAGUCACGGCUAACUACGUGCCAGCAGCCGCGGUAAUACGUAGGUGGCAAGCGUUAUCCGGAUUUAUUGGGCGUAAAGAGAGUGCAGGCGGUUUUCUAAGUCUGAUGUGAAAGCCUUCGGCUUAACCGGAGAAGUGCAUCGGAAACUGGAUAACUUGAGUGCAGAAGAGGGUAGUGGAACUCCAUGUGUAGCGGUGGGAAUGCGUAGAUAUAUGGAAGAACACCAGUGGCGAAGGCGGCUACCUGGUCUGCAACUGACGCUGAGACUCGAAAGCAUGGGUAGCGAACAGGAUUAGAUACCCUGGUAGUCCAUGCCGUAAACGAUGAGUGCUAGGUGUUGGAGGGGUUUCCGCCCUUCAGUGCCGGAGCUAACGCAUU
This 860-nucleotide ribosomal RNA is filed under the name Limosilactobacillus fermentum. RNAcentral's name for it is "bacterial SSU rRNA". It matches the Rfam family "Bacterial small subunit ribosomal RNA", at positions 48 to 861 of the family's 1533-position model. The record is from RNAcentral. Lineage: Bacteria; Bacillati; Bacillota; Bacilli; Lactobacillales; Lactobacillaceae.